RNAcentral lists this long non-coding RNA (912 nucleotides) under Prunus dulcis (almond). RNAcentral describes it as "sRNA ncRNA". The record is from RNAcentral. Lineage: Eukaryota; Viridiplantae; Streptophyta; Magnoliopsida; Rosales; Rosaceae.
AUAUUCCCACAACCAAUACAUUUUGCUCAUCAUUUCAUACAUACUUUUAACGAGAGAAAACAGAGGAAAAGCAGAGCACUUUUCUUUGCAGCACAAGAAAUUAAGAUGGCGGAGAAAACCAACCAGACUUACCCUUCAGGAUCAGCAAAUACAGGUUACACAAGAUCCGAUGGAGAGUCUCAGCUGUCCUCUCAUGAGCUGAAGCGCAAGAAGAGAAUCAAAUUGGCCAUAUAUAUUGCUAUUUUUGUUGUGUUUCAGACCAUAGUUAUCACCAUAAUGAGUCUCACUGUGUUGAAAGUAAAGACCCCAAAGUUCAGGCUAGGCAACAUCAGCGUCCAAAGCUUUGAGGCAACGUCUUUGAAAUUCAACACCCAAAUCAAGAUCAAGAACUCAGCCAACUGGGGUUCCUACAAGUUCAAAGCUUCCAAUGUCACGUUUCAACACCAAGGCAACAUUGUGGGAGUACUUGAUAUCGAAAAGGGAAAGGUUGGAUGGCUUUCGACCAUAAAAAGAGAUGUGAAGGUGAAUUUGAGUUUGAAUUCAAGUGCAAUAAGUGGUUCAAAUCUUGGAAGCGAAGUGAUGCUCAAUAGCGUUGGUAGAUUGGAAGGAAAAGUCGCAAUUAUGUUCAUAAUGAAGAAGAAGAAGGCUACCAACAUGAACUGCACCAUAGCUUUUGCUGUGAAAGAGCAGUCCGUCAGCUCUGUACACUGCAAGUGAAAACAGAUCUAGAUAUAGUAAUUUGUACUUGUUUUAUGUUUCUGCAAAUUUGAACUUCUGCUGUUUUUUAUAAAUAAAAUUGUUUGGGUGUAUAUGCAUACCAAAGUGUAAUUUUGUACUUGUGCUUUUUUAUUAUAUACAGAUUGUUAGAGCAGUCUUUUAUUUAUUUUAUAUUUAUUUUUUAUAAAACGAAGA